UACGGAGGGGGCUAGCGUUGUUCGGAGUUACUGGGCGUAAAGCGUGCGUAGGCGGUCUUGUAAGUUUGGUGUGAAAUCUCCCGGCUCAACUGGGAGGGUGCGCCGAAAACUGCAAGGCUGGAGUAUGGGAGAGGUAGGCGGAAUUCCUGGUGUAGCGGUGAAAUGCGUAGAUAUCAGGAGGAACACCUGUGGUGUAGACGGCUUACUGGACCAUGACUGACGCUGAGGCACGAAAGCGUGGGGAGCAAACAGG
Molecule: ribosomal RNA, 253 nt
Filed under: uncultured bacterium
Lineage: Bacteria
Description: partial 16S ribosomal RNA
Rfam family: Bacterial small subunit ribosomal RNA
Source: RNAcentral